GGGCAUUCAAAGGUGAGGAAAGCAAAUCACUGCCCCUCCAAAGCUCACAAUCUUCUGAGGAAGACAGACCUGCUGCUCCUAUACACUCAGUGCAAAGUGAGCCCCAUAGUGAAGGCAUGUCCACAUGCUAUGGGCCUAGAGCCCAGGGAGCAGCUAACUGUAGUGCAUAAGGAAGUGGCUUCCCAGAUGCAGGUUUAGAGGGACCUCUAAACACCUCUAAGCAGAGUUUAGAGGGACAAAUAUGCCAGGCAAAAGCAGGGGAGAUGGGAGACAUUCCAGGUAAAGGAUCACCCUGUGCAAAGCCAUCCUGACAUGAAAAAGCAUCAGAUGGCAGACAACUGCCCGGUAGUUUGUCCCCAUCUGUUGUUGGGAAAAAGUGCUGGGUGAGAGGCUUCAAAGGAAGCCCACUGCCAAACCUGUGUACUUUCCCAGAGGCAAUUUGGAUUUUUUUCUCCUGGCAUGAGAAGCCAGUUGGGUGUUAAGGCAUGGAGAAACAUCCUCAAAUUGUAUUUUUGAAAGAUAUAUAGUGAUAAGAAGAGAUAAAGAGAGGAAAUGGAUCGGUGGGGGGAGGGGUCAUAAGACCUUUGGCUGAUGUGGAGAAUGUUUAGGGAGAGUUGUUCAUUGAGUAGCUGGGGAGGAAGAAAAGGUUGUGCCUCUCAGCCUUUCCAGUCUUCCCAGUCAGUCUUCUUGUCAACUGGGAAGACAUUGAAAACAUUGUCCUCAGCCAGCUUCACAAGCCAGAAAUCAGCAUCCUCAUCAAAGAUGCCUUCCUUGAACCACCUUCUUAACACCAGUCUACACCAGCAGCAUCUAACCACAAAUCCUUUUUGUCUGGCAGACACUGGUGACUGUGUUGCCUCUUGGCUUGGCUUGAGUUCCUGAAGGGUAUAACUGCUGUGUGCGUUGCUCCUUGAUUAGUAUACAAUUCCACUGGGCUUGGUGGCCAAGGGGUGAUCCCAGAUGGAAGAAUGGUUUCUGGUCCCUGAAGCAGAAUGCACUACAGUGAAGCCCUGGCUUGACAUUGUCAAAGAAGAAUGUUACCAAGCCCCAUGUGUGGACAUGUGAACUAGCUGCUGCUGUGUGACCCUGAACCCCAAAGAGCCUCACCUAAUUAAAACAGCUAGGUUAAAUAUAGGAUGAUGCAGUGCUGGAAUUUUAGAUCAACAAUGGAUCAUUUCUUAGGAUAAGGAGUUCACUUUGUGGCCCAGUGGAAUAGAGUCUGACUAGGAACCUUGAGGUUGCGGGUUUGAUCCCUGGCCUUGCUCAGUGGGUUAAAGAUCUGGCGUUCCCAUGAGCUGUGGUGUAUGUCACAGAUUCGGCUCAGAUCUGGCAUUGCUCUGGCUGUGACGUAGGCUGGCAGCUGUAGCUCUGAUUUGACCCCUAGCUUGGGAACCUCCAUAUGCCGUCGGUACAGCCCAAAAAAACAAACAGAAAAAUGAUUCUUUCUUCAUCUGCGAUACAAAUUUAACUGAGCAUCCUGGAUUUUUAUUUGCUAAAUCUGACUAGUCCAAACCUAGUCUACCUCAGCUAUAUCUUGUAAUGUGUAGUAUCUCUUCUAACAAUAAAUCAAUGGCUCCUUUUGUCUUUAGCAUGGGGAGAUCAGGUGAUCUCAGUUGUUAAGUAACUUGACACUGGUUCUCCCUUACCCUACAUGCAAUAAACUCAACUUUGUGGGUUUUUUUAUUUUUAAAAUUUUUUGUGGUAUUUGUUUUUUCCUUUGAACACACACACACACACACAGUAAAAAAAGAACACCAAACCGAAUGUAAAAAUACAGCCAAAAACAUCUUGGUUGGUUCAGUAGAAUUCAGACAGGGACACAGACCAAACGAAAUAUGGACUAUCUCCUUUGAACAGAAUUAAUGAAUAGCUGUAUUUUGCUGGGGAUCCUGGGUGUCUGGGUUGUGCUUCUUUCUUAUUUUUGUUGUUGUUUAUUUAACCUUUCUCAUCUAAGUAACCUAAGCUGAGGGCAAGGAAGAGAGAUGAGCUGCCUCUGUGUCUGGAAGGCACACACCAGUCUUGCUGAUUCAUGAGAAUCUUAAGGGCUUAUUGAUGGCAUCUGUAAAAAACUCUGAGAGCUGGCUGUGCCGAUGAGACGUGUCUCAUCCUGUACCGAAAGGUCUCGGAAGAGGAGGUUGCACAAUCUGGUGCGGCAACCUGUUCGAGAGGAGAAGGUUCUUGUUGUUCCAGUUUAACACAAACCCACUUCCUCUUGUGCUCUCUCCCUUUGGAAUGAUGGCUUGCUCUCAUCCUCCGCUGUGGCUAAGCUGUAUCUUAUGCUUCUUCCUUCCUUCUGCAUGGAAGCAUGCUUUAUCCCUUAUGGUGAGGCCAGUGCCAUCAAGGAUCUGGGAAGAUGUUUUGAGCUGUGUUGUUAAAAACCAAAAAGGUGUGAUGAUGAGCUAAAUUAAGUGUGCUUAAUGCGACUGGAAAGUAAAGCCUUCCAGACAGCAUAGUAAAACAUGUUUCUCGUAUUAAAAAAAAAAGGGACAAAAAUAAUAAUAAUUGGAUCUAAAGAGGCUGAGCAAUAUUGCUGAAAAAAAUUGGGUUAAAUGACAGAGAUGAUAAUUUUGACACUAACUAGAUACAUCAGGAAUCCAUCCUGCAAAAUCCUUACUGUUCAGCUGUGGCUUCUUGGAAGUCUAAUUAAACAUGCUCACAAAGGUGCCCUCAACAGUUUUUUCUAUUACUCGCCAUUUUACAUCAGUGGAAGGCCAGUCUUCAAAAUUCCUACAUCAUUCUUUCAUGUAAUUUCAAAGAGAAGAGAAUGGUGGUCUAUUGUUCGGUUGAGCAUAAAGAAGCCAGUGUCUCAUGAUAAAGAGGGAAAUCUGCCUGCUUGUUUGUGAGGACUGCUGGGAGCCAGGAAGCCAAAACCUCGGAUCUGCUCCCCUGCACAAUAUAUUUAUAUCUGCUGGGCUGAGUGUGAACCGCCAUCAAAUGCUAAUGGCUUUGGGUAUUUGUUUUUAGUAAAUAAUUCAGUAAAUACCCUGGGAAGCACCCAUGAUUGUUUGCUGUUGCCUAUAUCUUUUGUGAACGUACAGCUUUUGCAAAACCAGAAGAUAGAGAAAUCUAUGCAGGCUAAGCGUGGGGGAAGCAGCCAAGUGUCAGCCCUGAGCACAGGCUCAGGAACAAGAUAUCUCUUGCAUGUAGCAUCUGGCUGGGGAGCACUCUCUAGCUCUGUAGUCUCCGGCAUUUGUUAGCCUCUUUGUGCCUUAAUUUCCUCACCUGUGAAAUGCAGAGUUGUGUGAGUGAAGUGGAUCAGUAAGGAGAAGCUCCACACAGAUAACCUUUGUGCAUGUGGUGUGUGCAUGUGUGUGUCUGCGCCGUCACAAGUAUGUUCAAUCAGACUAUGGUGCUAAGCUCAUGUGAUCUGUCCUAGGGUCGUGGGAAGUAGGUAGAAAACCAUGAGUCUGUGGAAGACAUUCCUAGUAGAAGUUAAUUUCCAGAUAAAGCAAGGAGAAUUUGCUUUGGCCCGUCUCAUGAAAGGCAUGUAUGUCAGGU
This 3498-nucleotide long non-coding RNA is filed under the name Sus scrofa (pig). Its description in RNAcentral is "lncRNA (ENSSSCG00030055478.1)". The record is from RNAcentral. Lineage: Eukaryota; Metazoa; Chordata; Mammalia; Artiodactyla; Suidae.